This is a long non-coding RNA of Homo sapiens (human), 468 nucleotides long. RefSeq annotates it as SNX9 antisense RNA 1. NCBI's taxonomy places the organism in Eukaryota, Metazoa, Chordata, Mammalia, Primates, Hominidae. The record is from RefSeq and is marked validated. The transcript is spliced from 2 exons.
GCUAGAGUUCAGAAGUGAGUGGUCUGGAUUCAGAAGACUGCCAGAAGCUAAGUGAGGUACAUCACAAAGGAACACAGGACUGUGAGCUAGAACAGGAGAGUGAAUGUUCGCUGGGGCCUUCCAGAAGACAGUUCAGUCUUAGCAAACUGGCCAGGAAGGAUUUUCAUCAAGAUGGAGGAAAAACCUGGAGAUCUUUGGCUCAAAGGACAUGACCUAAUUCUACAGAUGAAUCUGUACUGACGUUAGAAAACCACUGGUGGAACAUAAAACUUGUACAUUCUUCUAAAAAUGAAGGUAGAUCACAGCAGACUCAAUCUAUUUAUAGCCAGUCAUAUCAACAUUACUGAUUGGGAAUUACCAAAAGAGGUGAAAUUAUUUAACAAAUCCUUUGUUAAGUCAUAUUCUGAACCUACAGAUGUCAAUUUCAGGUGUUUAUUUUUUAAAUAAAGAUAAUUAAAACACUAAAAA